GAAGGAUCUCUUUUGGAGAUUGCUCCUCUUUGAGUCUUCUCAGUGAGCCUAGGACUAGGGUAAGUAUCAUCAGAAUCAUCUGCUGGAAAGAUCCUGGCUACUAAUUGCCUGAGACCACCCUGAGCAUGAUGCACUUCAAACUCAGCCAUCUCAUCCCUGAGCCUGAAUAUUUAAUGGUUGUCUUAUCAGUGUGCAGACUCUGGAAUUUCCUUUUUCUUUUUGAUGGGUAUCAGAGUGCAAAAGGUCCAGCUGAUAAAAUUCUCUAAUGAUCUAAAGGAGUGUCAGAGAUUCUGCCUGUAGCCCACUGCUUGGGAAUCCUUUGUCUAAGCAGACCUGCAUGAUGUGAAGCCCUGCAUUAUGUGCUGCUGGAAGGAGAGGAGAUCCUUGAUGUCCCAAAGGCUAUCAGAUGCUUCCCGUCGCUUGAACUGUUUUUCUAGUUCUGCUACUAAAUUAAUAUGCUGGACAGGUUGUGGAAAAACUCAUCCUUGGAGAAUUUCAAAAAGGCCCUAAGCAAUCUGAUCUGGUUUUGAUGUUAAAUGUGCCUUGAGCUGUAUGUUUGAAUGGAUAGCCUCCCAUGGCUACUUCAUACCUAAAUUACUCUAAGAUGACCUAUAUUAUUCUGUCAUUGGAUGAGUAAAAUCUCUUUGAACAAGAACUUUAAUUCUUCUGUAUUUAAGUAUUUAAGGAGGCAUAGGAAAGUUGAGGCCUGAUUGUCUCUAAGUGAAAGCACAGACCUUCAGUGCUGUAUUUGAAGCAAUUGUGAAUACUCCAAAACACACUGAUAUAAAUGUACCUAAUAUCAGAGAUUAUUUUGAUUUUGUUUUCUUUGUGGAUUUACCUUUACUUGUUGCAUAGUUGGUGCACAGAUCUUCAUUACAGAUGUUUUAUUUAAGUAGAAUUUUGGUGUAUUAAGUGAGUUUCCAACAGACCUUAAGUUUCAUAAUCUUUUUCAUAGGACAUUUAAACCAACUGCUCUGUAUGCCUCUUUUGGAGUUUGAAGAAAGAGUUCUAAACUUAUGUCUUCCAGUGUCAAUCUAAAAAGUAGUCUUUGGAAGAAAAACAACUGAUCAUUUGGCAGUGCGUAUGUAUAAUUAAAAAAAGAAAACCAAAAACACCAUGAAACAACCCACAACUGUUUUAAUACUCUCCUGAAACAAAUCACAAGAACUUUUGUGCUUUUUUGUUGAAAUAGCUUCAGGUUUUCACAAAACAGCAAAGUUAGAUCUUUUAUUAAGAAGUCUUAUCAAUAUUAACUUCCUUGUUCCUUUGAAACCUGGCUUCUUGGUGCACUUGCAAAAUAUUAAAGAAUGUAUGCAUGCAGACUACUAGAUCUUUUCCCACCAUGUUGUUGACUGUAAGGAAAUGUGGACUGCAUACGGCAUUACAUUUCUAGUAUCCUCACUCAAGCAAAAGGGAACAAAAUCUGUUAAUCAUUGGUUACAUAAAUAGAAUGAUAUAUGUGUAUUUAGGUGGUAUAUAAUAUGUGUUACAUAUGCAUUCCUGUGUAUAUCCUAUCUUUUUCCUAGUUUACUGUUUUCAGGCUGACUGAAACAGUAGUUUCCUUGAGAAAAGUACUUGUUUUUCUUCUUUUCAUCUAAUAUCUAAACAGUGAUCAGAUCCAGGUUCCACUGAAUUCAAUGAAGCAAUUUGGCCAACUUCAUUUAUCCUUUGUUAUAGGUUCUGAUGAUAUACUGACAAUAAUGUUUUAAAUGCUCACUUCCUAUUCAGUGAUGUUAAUUGUUUAUGGAACAGGUGUACUCUUAUUGAGUGGCUGCUCCCAGGUGGAGCAAUGCAAAAUGAAAGAGUAAUGCUGAAGUUUAGUGCAUGCUUGGUCACUUCAAGGUGGCACUGCUUUACUUUGUCUGUUAUACUACCAGUUAAAUUGCUUCUGGCUCUGACAUAUUUAAAUGUAGCAGCAGCCAUGUGUUCCAGUUCUUAUUACAUUGUACCACUACUAUUCCCUGUUCUCUGUUCUUUGAACAGGUAGCCUGUCAUCUUGCAUGCUAAUUUAAAAAUGAUAGCAAAAUCUCAAAGCAAGUGAGGGUAAAGACUUUCACAGUCACUGUUCAACACUGAUCAACACUGUUUUUUAAAACCUUUAUAGAUGUGGACGGAUCUGCAGAGAUUUUGUUGCACAGGUGACAAGAGCACUGGCACAGGCUGUCCAGAGGGGCUCUAGAUUCUAUUUCUUGGAGGUCUUUAGAGAUGCCUAGGUAUAGGCCUGUGUGCCCUGCUUGAGUGGUGGUUGGGCCAGAUGAGCUGAGAGGGUCCUGCCAACCUCAGUUGUUCUGGGAUUCUGUGACUGAAAAGACAUGGUGAGGAGGGGUUGUAAGGCUCAGAACAGUGGAUAGCUGAUCAUAGUGUACUUGGAGUUGAAUGACAAGAGAAUCACAGAAUGGCCUGGGUUAAAAAGGACCAUGAAAAUGAUCAUCUAGUUUCAAUUCCUAUGCUAUGGGCAAGGUCACCAACCACCAGACCAGGCUGCCCAGAGCCACAUCCAGCCUGGCCUUGAAUGCCUUCAGGGAUGGG
This is a long non-coding RNA of Tympanuchus pallidicinctus (lesser prairie-chicken), 2529 nucleotides long. RefSeq lists it as uncharacterized. NCBI's taxonomy places the organism in Eukaryota, Metazoa, Chordata, Aves, Galliformes, Phasianidae. The record is from RefSeq and is a predicted model, not a curated record. The transcript is spliced from 4 exons.